Molecule: non-coding RNA, 936 nt
Organism: Pelobates cultripes (western spadefoot toad)
Lineage: Eukaryota; Metazoa; Chordata; Amphibia; Anura; Pelobatidae
Source: the annotation of a GenBank genome assembly
GGGUAGAGUCACUGGCAAUGCAGAGCUCAGAGCAGGGUUACUGGCAGUGCAGAGCUCAGAGCAGGGUUAGUGGCAGUGCAGAGCUCAGGGUAGAGUUACUGGCAGUGCAGAGCUCAGGGCAGAGGUACAGGCAGUGCAGAGGUCAGGGUAGAGUUACUGGCAGUGCAGAGCUCAGAGCAGAGUUACUGGCAGUGCAGAGCUCAGAGCAUGGUUACUGGCAGUGCAGAGCUCAGAGCAGGGCUAGUGGCAGUGCAGAGCUCAGGGCAGAGUUACUGGCAGUGCAGAGCUCAGAGCAGGGUUACUGACAGUGCAGAGCUCAGGGCAGAGUUACUGGCAGUGCAGAGCUCAGGGUAGAAUUACUGGCAGUGCAUAGCUCAGAGCAGGGUUACUGACAGAGCAGAGCUCAGGGCAGAGUUACUGGCAGUGCAGAACUCAGGGUAGAGUUACUGGCAGUGCAUAGCUCAGAGCAGGGUUACUGGCAGUGCGGAGCUUAGAGCAGGGUUACUGGCAGUGCAGAGCUCAGGGUAGAGUUAUUGGCAGUACAGAGCUCAGGGCAGGGUUACUGGCAGUGCAGAGCUCAGGGUAGAGUUACUGGCAGUGCAGAGCUCAGAGGAGGGUUACUGACAGUGCAGAGCUCAGGGCAGAGUUACUGGCAGUGCAGAGCUCAGUGCAGAGUUACUGGCAGUGCAGAGCUCAGAGCAGGGUUACUGGCAGUGCAGAGCUCAGAGCAUGGUUACUGACAGUGCAGAGCUCAGGGCAGAGUUACUGGCAGUGCAGAGCUCAGGGUAGAGUUACUGGCAGUGCAGAGCUCAGAGGAGGGUUACUGACAGUGCAGAGCUCAGGGCAGAGUUACUGGCAGUGCAUAGCUCAGAGCAGUGUUACUGGCAGUGCGGAGCUUAGAGCAGGGUUACUGGCAGUGCAGAGCUCAGGGCAGAG